AAGUCGUAACAAGGUUUCCGUAGGUGAACCUGCGGAAGGAUCAUUAAAGAGCAAGGGUCUCCGGCCCGAACCUCCAACCCUCUGUCGUUAUAACUACUUCGUUGCUUUGGCGGGACCGCGAAGGUUCUCCCGAGCGCGCCGGUCUCCGGACAGGCGAGCGCCCGCCAGGGUCUAACCAAACUCUUGUUUUUAAACCAGUCGUCUGAGUAUAAAAUUUUUAUUAAAUUAAAAC
RNAcentral lists this unclassified non-coding RNA (232 nucleotides) under plant metagenome. RNAcentral's name for it is "partial contains small subunit ribosomal RNA and internal transcribed spacer 1". The stretch from base 1 to 46 matches the Rfam family "Eukaryotic small subunit ribosomal RNA", at positions 1786 to 1831 of the family's 1831-position model. The record is from RNAcentral.